AUGCCGAUAGUAUAUGUAAGUACAGUUGCCUUCCAAGCAAAAAGGCCAAAUUGGUCAGCAUA
RNAcentral lists this transfer RNA (62 nucleotides) under Anodonta nuttalliana. RNAcentral's name for it is "tRNA-Gly". Lineage: Eukaryota; Metazoa; Mollusca; Bivalvia; Unionida; Unionidae. The record is from RNAcentral.